AUACAAAUAUUAUCUCCUAAGCUAAUAUCUGUUCUAAUCAGUGUGAUAUCUGAUCUGUUCUCCAUUGGAGAGCUCUGUGUUCAAUGGGUUUUUUGAGAAAGGGAGUUGGAGUAGGGGCUUUCUCUGCCCAUUCCACAGAUCAGCCUGGUAUUGUAGCGCUUCCAGGAGCUUAGCCCAAACCAC
This is a small nuclear RNA of Gopherus evgoodei (Goodes thornscrub tortoise), 183 nucleotides long. Its record names the gene U2. It matches the Rfam family "U2 spliceosomal RNA". From Rfam's summary of the family: U2 is a small nuclear RNA (snRNA) component of the spliceosome (involved in pre-mRNA splicing). Lineage: Eukaryota; Metazoa; Chordata; Testudines; Testudinidae. The record is from Ensembl.